Molecule: ribosomal RNA, 232 nt
Filed under: uncultured bacterium
Lineage: Bacteria
Description: partial 16S ribosomal RNA
Rfam family: Bacterial small subunit ribosomal RNA
Source: RNAcentral
UGGGCAACCUGCCCUCAGCUCUGGGAUAACUCCGGGAAACCGGGGCUAAUACCGGAUACGACCUUCCCUCGCAUGGGGGUUUGGUGGAAAGUUCUUCGGCUGAGGAUGGGCCCGCGGCCUAUCAGCUUGUUGGUGGGGUNAUGGCCUACCAAGGCGACGACGGGUAGCCGGCCUGAGAGGGUGACCGGCCACACUGGGACUGAGACACCGGCCCAGACUCCGUACGGGAGCA